This 495-nucleotide ribosomal RNA is filed under the name uncultured bacterium. RNAcentral's name for it is "partial 16S ribosomal RNA". It matches the Rfam family "Bacterial small subunit ribosomal RNA", at positions 28 to 507 of the family's 1533-position model. The record is from RNAcentral.
GACGAACGCUGGCGGCGUGCCUAAUACAUGCAAGUAGAACGCUGAAGGAGGAGCUUGCUUCUCUGGAUGAGUUGCGAACGGGUGAGUAACGCGUAGGUAACCUGCCUGGUAGCGGGGGAUAACUAUUGGAAACGAUAGCUAAUACCGCAUAAUAGCAGUUGUUGCAUGACAACUGUUUGAAAGGUGCAAUUGCACCACUACCAGAUGGACCUGCGUUGUAUUAGCUAGUUGGUGGGGUAACGGCUCACCAAGGCGACGAUACAUAGCCGACCUGAGAGGGGGAUCGGCCACACUGGGACUGAGACACGGCCCAGACUCCUACGGGAGGCAGCAGUAGGGAAUCUUCGGCAAUGGACGGAAGUCUGACCGAGCAACGCCGCGGGAGUGAAGAAGGGUUUCGGAUCGUAAAGCUCUGUUGUAAGAGAAGAACGAGUGUGAGAGUGGAAAGUUCACACUGUGACGGUAUCUUACCAGAAAGGGACGGCUAACUACGUG